CAGCCGCCGCGGUAAUACGAAGGGUGCAAGCGUUAAUCGGAAUUACUGGGCGUAAAGCGCACGUAGGCGGCUUGGUAAGUUAGAGGUGAAAGCCUGGAGCUCAACUCCAGAAUUGCCUUUAAGACUGCCGAGCUAGCAGGUGAGAGAGGUAAGUGGAAUUCCGAGUGUAGAGGUGAAAUUCGUAGAUAUUCGGAAGAACACCAGUGGCGAAGGCGGCUUACUGGCUCAUACUGGACGCUGAGGUGCGAAAGCGUGGGGAGCAAACAGGAUUAGAUACCCGCGUAGUCCCUGUCUCUUAUAC
This 301-nucleotide ribosomal RNA is filed under the name uncultured bacterium. RNAcentral's name for it is "partial 16S ribosomal RNA". It matches the Rfam family "Bacterial small subunit ribosomal RNA", at positions 509 to 807 of the family's 1533-position model. The record is from RNAcentral.